UACGUAGGGUGCGAGCGUUGUCCGGAAUUAUUGGGCGUAAAGAGCUUGUAGGCGGUUUGUCGCGUCUGCUGUGAAAAUCCGGGGCUCAACCCCGGACUUGCAGUGGGUACGGGCAGGCUAGAGUGUGGUAGGGGAGACUGGAAUUCCUGGUGUAGCGGUGGAAUGCGCAGAUAUCAGGAGGAACACCGAUGGCGAAGGCAGGUCUCUGGGCCACUACUGACGCUGAGAAGUGAAAGCAUGGGGAGCGAACAGG
Molecule: ribosomal RNA, 253 nt
Filed under: uncultured bacterium
Lineage: Bacteria
Description: partial 16S ribosomal RNA
Rfam family: Bacterial small subunit ribosomal RNA
Source: RNAcentral